ACUUAAGCGCUAAUAUUAGCCAAAUAAAGUGUUAUAAAGCCGCCUUCAUUGGCGGCUUUUUUGUAUCGUUAACACAU
RNAcentral lists this transfer RNA (77 nucleotides) under Shewanella piezotolerans WP3. RNAcentral describes it as "tRNA-Met". Lineage: Bacteria; Pseudomonadati; Pseudomonadota; Gammaproteobacteria; Alteromonadales; Shewanellaceae. The record is from RNAcentral.